GACGAACGCUGGCGGCGUGCUUAACACAUGCAAGUCGAACGCUGAAGCUCAGCUUGCUGGGUGGAUGAGUGGCGAACGGGUGAGUAACACGUGAGUAACCUGCCCUCUUCUUUGGGAUAACGCCCGGAAACGGGUGCUAAUACUGGAUAUUCACUGAUUCUCGCAUGGGGGUUGGUGGAAAGGUUUUUUCUGGUGGGGGAUGGGCUCGCGGCCUAUCAGCUUGUUGGUGGGGUGAUGGCCUACCAAGGCUUUGACGGGUAGCCGGCCUGAGAGGGUGACCGGUCACAUUGGGACUGAGAUACGGCCCAGACGCCUACGGGAGGCAGCAGUGGGGAAUAUUGCACAAUGGGCGAAAGCCUGAUGCAGCGACGCCGCGUGAGGGAUGGAGGCCUUCGGGUUGUAAACCUCUUUCGCUCAUGGUCAAGCCGCAGCUUUGGGUUGUGGUGAGGGUAGUGGGUAAAGAAGCGCCGGCUAACUACGUG
This 482-nucleotide ribosomal RNA is filed under the name uncultured bacterium. RNAcentral describes it as "partial 16S ribosomal RNA". It matches the Rfam family "Bacterial small subunit ribosomal RNA", at positions 28 to 507 of the family's 1533-position model. The record is from RNAcentral.